RNAcentral lists this ribosomal RNA (2206 nucleotides) under Serratia marcescens. RNAcentral's name for it is "partial 23S ribosomal RNA". It matches the Rfam family "Bacterial large subunit ribosomal RNA", at positions 1 to 2228 of the family's 2925-position model. The record is from RNAcentral. Lineage: Bacteria; Pseudomonadati; Pseudomonadota; Gammaproteobacteria; Enterobacterales; Yersiniaceae.
GGUUAAGUGACUAAGCGUACACGGUGGAUGCCUAGGCAGUCAGAGGCGAUGAAGGGCGUGCUAAUCUGCGAAAAGCGUCGGUAAGGUGAUAUGAACCGUUAUAACCGGCGAUACCCGAAUGGGGAAACCCAGUGUGUUUCGACACACUAUCAUGUCAUGAAUACAUAGUGGCAUGAGGCGAACCGGGGGAACUGAAACAUCUAAGUACCCCGAGGAAAAGAAAUCAACCGAGAUUCCCCCAGUAGCGGCGAGCGAACGGGGAGGAGCCCAGAACCUGAAUCGGCUUGUGUGUUAGUGGAAGCGUCUGGAAAGUCGCGCAGCAAAGGGUGAUAGCCCCGUACACUAAAAUGCACAGGUCGUGAGUUCGAUGAGUAGGGCGGGACACGUGACAUCCUGUCUGAAUAUGGGGGGACCAUCCUCCAAGGCUAAAUACUCCUGACUGACCGAUAGUGAACCAGUACCGUGAGGGAAAGGCGAAAAGAACCCCGGCGAGGGGAGUGAAAUAGAACCUGAAACCGUGUACGUACAAGCAGUGGGAGCACCUUCGUGGUGUGACUGCGUACCUUUUGUAUAAUGGGUCAGCGACUUAUAUUUUGUAGCAAGGUUAACCGUAUAGGGGAGCCGUAGGGAAACCGAGUCUUAACUGGGCGAAUAGUUGCAAGGUAUAGACCCGAAACCCGGUGAUCUAGCCAUGGGCAGGUUGAAGGUUGGGUAACACUAACUGGAGGACCGAACCGACUAAUGUUGAAAAAUUAGCGGAUGACUUGUGGCUGGGGGUGAAAGGCCAAUCAAACCGGGAGAUAGCUGGUUCUCCCCGAAAGCUAUUUAGGUAGCGCCUCGUGAACUCAUCUUCGGGGGUAGAGCACUGUUUCGGCUAGGGGGCCAUCCCGGCUUACCAAACCGAUGCAAACUCCGAAUACCGAAGAAUGUUAUCACGGGAGACACACGGCGGGUGCUAACGUCCGUCGUGAAGAGGGAAACAACCCAGACCGCCAGCUAAGGUCCCAAAGUCAUGGUUAAGUGGGAAACGAUGUGGGAAGGCACAGACAGCCAGGAUGUUGGCUUAGAAGCAGCCAUCAUUUAAAGAAAGCGUAAUAGCUCACUGGUCGAGUCGGCCUGCGCGGAAGAUGUAACGGGGCUAAACCAUGCACCGAAGCUGCGGCAGCGACGCUUAGGCGUUGUUGGGUAGGGGAGCGUUCUGUAAGCCGUUGAAGGUGGCCUGUGAGGGUUGCUGGAGGUAUCAGAAGUGCGAAUGCUGACAUAAGUAACGAUAAAGCGGGUGAAAAGCCCGCUCGCCGGAAGACCAAGGGUUCCUGUCCAACGUUAAUCGGGGCAGGGUGAGUCGACCCCUAAGGCGAGGCUGAAAAGCGUAGUCGAUGGGAAACAGGUUAAUAUUCCUGUACUUGGUGUUACUGCGAAGGGGGGACGGAGAAGGCUAGGCUGGCCGGGCGACGGUUGUCCCGGUUUAAGCGUGUAGGGGGUGUGACCUGGUAAAUCCGGUUGCAUACUAACCCUGAGGCGUGAUGACGAUGCACUACGGUGCAGAAGUAGUUGAUGCCCUGCUUCCAGGAAAAUCCUCUAAGCAUCAGGUAACAUUAAAUCGUACCCCAAACCGACACAGGUGGUCAGGUAGAGAAUACCAAGGCGCUUGAGAGAACUCGGGUGAAGGAACUAGGCAAAAUGGUGCCGUAACUUCGGGAGAAGGCACGCUGGCAUGUAGGUGAAGUCCCUUGCGGAUGGAGCCGAAGCCAGUCGAAGAUACCAGCUGGCUGCAACUGUUUAAUAAAAACACAGCACUGUGCAAACACGAAAGUGGACGUAUACGGUGUGACGCCUGCCCGGUGCUGGAAGGUUAAUUGAUGGGGUCAGCCGCAAGGCGAAGCUCUUGAUCGAAGCCCCAGUAAACGGCGGCCGUAACUAUAACGGUCCUAAGGUAGCGAAAUUCCUUGUCGGGUAAGUUCCGACCUGCACGAAUGGCGUAAUGAUGGCCAGGCUGUCUCCACCCGAGACUCAGUGAAAUUGAACUCGCUGUGAAGAUGCAGUGUACCCGCGGCAAGACGGAAAGACCCCGUGAACCUUUACUAUAGCUUGACACUGAACAUUGAGCCUUGAUGUGUAGGAUAGGUGGGAGGCUUUGAAGCGUGGACGCCAGUCUGCGUGGAGCCAUCCUUGAAAUACCACCCUUUAAUGUUUGAUGUUCUAACUC